RNAcentral lists this ribosomal RNA (507 nucleotides) under Triticum aestivum (bread wheat). Its description in RNAcentral is "partial small subunit ribosomal RNA". Lineage: Eukaryota; Viridiplantae; Streptophyta; Magnoliopsida; Poales; Poaceae. The record is from RNAcentral.
AUGUUUCUACCAUUGGCCCUUGUAGAUCCCUUUAGUGAAAGGGCCGUGGUUAUCAGAAUAGAGAUCGUGCAUUGCACGUGCAAGUUUGAUAGAGACGUGCAUUGCACGUGCACGUUUACUAGUGUAUCGAAGUCAGCAUAUAUCAACAGGACGGCGACUGCACAUCGACACACAUUAACCAAACAGAUUGUGACACGACAGAUGGAGUCUCAACAACGAAGCAGCAGAAUUCAGGAACUCCUGAUCAUGUAUAUCAGCCAGGACUCAACUAUGAUUCUGCAGGGUCAACACUCCAUAGAGAUUAUGGCUAGGUCCAAAUGCUCUCUUUCAAGUUCCCAACCAGGGCAGACCUUGCAUAAAAGGAACCUACUGGGCAAACCACAUGCCAGUCUCAGUUUCUACUAUUCAAGUGAGAAAUGCAUGAAAGACAUACUGCAGCAUUUGUCAUAUGAUGAAAGUAACAAGAUAACUUCUACAUAUAAUAUAGUAAUGUACUUCUACAUAUAA